AACGAACGCUGGCGGCAUGCCUAACACAUGCAAGUCGAACGAGACCUUCGGGUCUAGUGGCGCACGGGUGCGUAACGCGUGGGAACCUGCCCUUAGGUUCGGAAUAACUCCCCGAAAGGGGUGCUAAUACCGGAUAAUGUCUUCGGCCCAAAGAUUUAUCGCCUUUGGAUGGGCCCGCGUUGGAUUAGCUAGUUGGUAGGGUAAAAGCCUACCAAGGCGACGAUGCAUAGCUGGUCUGAGAGGAUGAUCAGCCACACUGGGACUGAGACACGGCCCAGACUCCUACGGGAGGCAGCAGUGGGGGAUAUUGGAAAGUGGGCGAAAGCCUGAUCCAGCAAUGCCGCGUGAGUGAUGAAGGCCUUAGGGUUGUAAAGCUCUUUUAACCGGGAUGAUAAUGACAGUACCGAGAGAAUAAGCUCCGGCUAACUCCGUG
Molecule: ribosomal RNA, 433 nt
Filed under: uncultured bacterium
Lineage: Bacteria
Description: partial 16S ribosomal RNA
Rfam family: Bacterial small subunit ribosomal RNA
Source: RNAcentral